GAGGACCGUGGCCCUCGGAAAAUUCCGAGGAAUGUGGCCCUUGGUAUAUUCCGAUGACUUAUUCCGAGGAAAUGUUCGUCGGAAAUUUCCGAGGGUCCAUUUCCUCGGAAUUUCAAAAAAAAAUAUUUUUUUUUAAAAUUAAUUUUUUUUAAAAAUUAAUUUUUUUAAAUAUUAAUUUUUUUAAAAAAUUAAAAUUUUUGAAAUUUAAAUUCGAAAAUAUAAAAUUAAAAUUAAAAUUGAAAACAUAUUAGAUGAUAUUCAAAGUUGUACAAAUAAAAAUAAAACAUUCUGAGUUUUUGAAAAAAAAAAAAAAAAACUACGGGUCUUGCACGUUCCAUGCGUUGUCCAUCCAGAUAACAUACCAUAUGCUGGAAAAUCACUUAUUGUCCACAUUAGUACUGCCCGCAUUUGAAAGUUUUCUUUACACGAAACAUCGUAUGUUUCAGCACCUUGAGCCCAUAGUUGUUGCAACUCAUAUAUUAGUGGCUGAAGAAACACAUCAAGUGAUCUCUUAGGAUGCUCUGGUCCGGGAACGAGAAUCGAGAGAAACAAAAACUCUCGUCGCAAGCACAAGUUUGGGGAUAGGUUGUAUGGUGUAAGAAUGACUGGUCAUAGAGAAUACUGUCUUCCAC
RNAcentral lists this long non-coding RNA (632 nucleotides) under Brassica rapa (field mustard). Its description in RNAcentral is "long non-coding RNA (BRAP_LNC006902)". The record is from RNAcentral. Lineage: Eukaryota; Viridiplantae; Streptophyta; Magnoliopsida; Brassicales; Brassicaceae.